This 313-nucleotide ribosomal RNA is filed under the name Arthrobacter sp. HODAZ9. RNAcentral's name for it is "bacterial SSU rRNA". It matches the Rfam family "Bacterial small subunit ribosomal RNA", at positions 1194 to 1505 of the family's 1533-position model. Lineage: Bacteria; Bacillati; Actinomycetota; Actinomycetes; Micrococcales; Micrococcaceae. The record is from RNAcentral.
GAUUGCCCUAUGUUGGGCUUACGCAUGCUACAAUGGCCGGUACAUGGGUUGCGAUACUGUGAGGUGGAGCUAAUCCCUAAAAGCCGGUCUCAGUUCGGAUUGGGGUCUGCAACUCGACCCCAUGAAGUCGGAGUCGCUAGUAAUCGCAGAUCAGCAACGCUGCGGUGAAUACGUUCCCGGGCCUUGUACACACCGCCCGUCAAGUCACGAAAGUUGGUAACACCCGAAGCCGAUGGCCUAACCACCUUGUGUGGGGGGAGUCGUCGAAGGUGGGACUGGCGAUUGGGACUAAGUCGUAACAAGGUACCGUAAA